This 449-nucleotide ribosomal RNA is filed under the name uncultured organism. RNAcentral describes it as "partial 16S ribosomal RNA". It matches the Rfam family "Bacterial small subunit ribosomal RNA", at positions 332 to 797 of the family's 1533-position model. The record is from RNAcentral.
UACACUCCUACGGGAGGCAGCAGUGGGGAAUAUUGGACAAUGGGCGCAAGCCUGAUCCAGCCAUGCCGCGUGAGUGAUGAAGGCCCUAGGGUUGUAAAGCUCUUUCACCGGUGAAGAUAAUGACGGUAACCGGAGAAGAAGCCCCGGCUAACUUCGUGCCAGCAGCCGCGGUAAUACGAAGGGGGCUAGCGUUGUUCGGAUUUACUGGGCGUAAAGCGCACGUAGGCGGACUAUUAAGUCAGGGGUGAAAUCCCGGGGCUCAACCCCGGAACUGCCUUUGAUACUGGUAGUCUUGAGUUCGAGAGAGGUGAGUGGAAUUCCGAGUGUAGAGGUGAAAUUCGUAGAUAUUCGGAGGAACACCAGUGGCGAAGGCGGCUCACUGGCUCGAUACUGACGCUGAGGUGCGAAAGCGUGGGGAGCAAACAGGAUUAGAAACCCUGGUAGUCCCA